UCAACUGUGGUUCCUUAGGCCAUAUAUACUCCAUGGAUAACUGUAGUAAUUCUAGAGCUAAUACAUGCAAUUUCGCUCUGGCCCGCAAGGGAACGGGUGUAUUUAUUAGAACAGAACCAACCGUCGGCAGUUUCGGCUGUCUCUGUUGAAUUAUGUGAUGACUCCGGAUGACUUUAGUUAUCGCAGUCGGCCUUGUGUGGGCGACGGAUCUUUCAAAUGUCUGC
This 224-nucleotide non-coding RNA is filed under the name Trichobilharzia regenti. Its description in RNAcentral is "Eukaryotic small subunit ribosomal RNA". It matches the Rfam family "Eukaryotic small subunit ribosomal RNA", at positions 106 to 310 of the family's 1831-position model. Lineage: Eukaryota; Metazoa; Platyhelminthes; Trematoda; Strigeidida; Schistosomatidae. The record is from Rfam by way of RNAcentral.